GGUGUCCUCCUUUCCCCUCUGUGCCUGUUCACCUGGUGAUGAAGGUGAGUGUGGGAGUGCGUGUUCAGGUCAGAAUUCCUGAAACCCCAGAUGUGGGUCACAGCUGCCAGACCCUGCAAGCCACGCCAGGCCCGGGCCAGGCCCCACCCCAACCCAGGUGGCUCCUGCUCCUCCAGAUCCCCUUGCAGGACCUGGAAGGACCCAGACUUGGGGUUGAGGGAGAAGGGCGAUGCCAGCGAGAGGUCCUUUGGGGAGAACACAGGGUCCCUGCUUUCUAGAGUGGUGGCAAGGCUGAGAUUGAAGAUGGGGCGCUCCUCCAUGCUCACAUUUUUGAGGGUCUAUUACUGCUGGAGUCCAGGAACACUCCAGUUGUGUUAGAUUCCAACACUCCACCCGCCAGCCUUUUCCCUCUCUCUCCCAGCCGCUUCGCAAUACCUUUAUUUCGUUUUGCCUUUUGCUCUACUCGAGCUUAACUGGCUUUCCCUCACCUGGCCUUUAUUGCCAGCCUCUGCCCCCCGAGCCCUGCUGGCUUCACUUAAUUGUCUUUGCUGCUGGCCAUGAUCCCAACCUGGACACCCUCCCUUCUCCAGGGAGCCGGUGCUGGCUCCUCCUUCCAGACCCAGCUCCAAAGCCCUCCCUCCAGGAGGUUCUCAGGGCCCAGCAUCAGGAGGUGCAGCGCCCUUUGACCUUACAUGUCCAGGUGGUCCUGUUGUUGGCAUCCCUGGCUGCAUUGGACCCCAGGAUAUGGAAAAAGGUAUAGGGAGUCUGCUAUUCUUGCAAGAUGAAGCUUAACUUUCUUUGUGGCACCUUCCCUGGUCCCCACUCCCCGUGUUGAAAUCACUGUUCUCUGUCCCACGAGAUUGUGAGCCUUUCCUAUGACUAGCAUACAUACUAGCAUAAAUGUUUGCUGAGUGAGAGGUGUUUCUUGCCACUUGGACAAUUAUAGUCUAAUUGGGAGGAAUAGAUCAUAUACAUAAAGGGGAAAAACAAACAUCACAAGGUGACAGAGCCUGAGGACCAGACUGGCUGCGCCAGUAAUUGUUUAUUGGCCCCCUCUGCCCUUGGGGUGUCUAUUCUGCUUUCCAAGUCACAAAGGACAAGGGUCAUCACCUCUAAUUUACUUUAACUCACCUGCUACCGGGUCUGGGGUUUUGCACACAGCAGGUGCCCGACGUAUGUCUAAGUGGACCAGAAGGUGUGAGAUGGGUUUGCUGUGACCCAGAACAGGGCUAUCCACCUCCAACCCUGACAGCCACUAGGAUUAAGUCUUGGUUCUGUUCUCAGAAACUCCAGGAAAAGGAAUCCCGUUCUUCUCUCCUUCUCCUCCCCCUCCUCCUCCUUCCCCUCCUCCUCCUCCUCCUCCUCUUCCUCCUUCUCUUCUUCUUCUUUCUUCUUCUUCUUCUAACAAAUCAUUGUUUCAAAUUAAAUCAUAAAUGGAAGCCCAAUUAAACAAACCAGGUCUCCCAUCAAUUAGCCCUAUAGGUAAGGGCUGGCAUGGCUCUGGCUGAAUAAGGGGCUCAGGGCACUGCAGUCUCCAAAGCACCUCUCUAGACCCAUUCCACAAAGCAUGGUGUGAAAACCCAUUUCCUGAGCCAGCCACUGGGUUACUCAGGAACAUCCUCCUCCACCCUGUCCCACUUGCAGCCUUCGUCGGGGACUUUGGGAGAAACGAAUGUAUGUUGCAUGAACCUGCUCUUCAAGGGUGGAGAGCAGCAGCUUCCCCCAUUCACCUAUGAGACGGCAGAGAUGACACUUAGGUGGAGGGGCCCUCCUCCAAGCAAGCAGUCCUCAUGUUCAUCCCAUGGGAGACAAAACCGAAAUCUUCCUUCAUCAGAACCUUGGUAGACCAGCUCUCACUCCUCCACUUACAGAAAAGUGUGCGGGAGAGUUGAGAAUGCACUGGACCAGAAGCCAAGACAGUCACCUUCGCAUACCGGCUCUGCAACUAACUAGCAAGAGACGAGGUUUCGCCAUGCUGGACUCCUGGCCUCAAAUGAUCCACCCACCUCAGGCUCCUGAAGUGCUGGGAUUAGAGGUGUGAGCCACCUACAUUCACUGUUAAUUCUCACUCUCACCCCCUGACGACACCAGGGGAAUCUGAGGUGCAGAACUUGAGUAACUUGCCCCAGGUUUCACACCUGGAGGGUGGUGGGGUCAGAUCCUAGCUCAAAUCUCCGUGACUUCAAGGCCAGAGUUUUUCCAAGGACGCUAAGCAGCCUCUUUGCCAUUGUUAAGUACUGCUGGGCUGUGUCAUUAUUAUUACCUGUUAAUUGGGGGGGACCCCAACGGGAGCUCCACAGUUUGCCUUUCUGUUUGCGGACACCCACUGGCAGCUGCGCUUGGUCCUGCGGUUAUGAGGGUGUAGACUGUGGAGUCGCAUAAGGACUUGACCGCCGGCACAGGGAGCUGGAGCAAACCCAAGACUGACUGAGACCAUUCAUCAUGCCUGGGUGAGCACAAUUUAAAUCUGGAAAUUUCUGCUCAGCCAGAUUAGAGAACUCUAAAUGACAGUAUUUAACUGCUGCCUGAGGACCCUGGAGUUUCUCCCAUGUGACACUUCCAGAAUUGAGGGAGGGAUGUGCUCUUCUCUUGCCUAGGAGGAGGUCCUGGACUGGUCUUGUGGGGAGACUGGACACUUGGCAUCCUCUCCCGCCAUGAACUGCCCGCCAACCCCCGCCGUAUAAAUGUUACUGCUGGGGGUGUGAACAAGUAAACAUGUAUUAUUACCUCCCUUGCCAGCUGAGAAGGUGGCAAUAUUUGCCAGUCCCUUGGACCAGUCUCCCAAACCAUCUUUUUCCACACGUGGUGGUGUCUUUCCUUCUUACUGAAUCAUUUAGGUAAUUACCUCAAUUCUUCACUUUACUUUGGCUAUGAAGACAGAGCCUUAAUGAGCCCAGAGCCCUGAAGAAUCCCAGCUCCGUGGUGAGGCAGCCAGGCGGCGGCCAUGGGAGGGGAAGACGGUAUUAGGGUGCUCACGUUGCGUAACCUGCACGUCCAAGCGGCCAAGCCAGCUGCAUCUGCAGCCCGGACGAGAAGACGGGAGAGGCCCUCCACCAACCAGGGGAACGCAGUCACUUUCUGCAGCAACUCCCAAAGCCUUUAGGACAAACAGACCGAGAGGUUCCUUUGUCCACAGCUGGCCUCUGAAACUGAGCUGACUCUCAAAGGGUUGAGAAGAACCCCAAGGAGGAGAUCGUCUGCACUCAGAGGCUGAAACGUUUGAAAACAGGUGCGGGAGGGGGCGGGGAGGAUGGUCAGUGACAGCACAUUCUUCAGCAAACAUGUGUCAUUUGUGCUUUCACCAAAGCAGAGCUUUUAAUUCCUAAAAUAUAACAGCCUGGUGCAGGGGCUGGAAGAAGAGGGCGCGUUUUAUGGGCAACUCUGCUAAAUGCUUGGUUGCUGAAUGAAAGGUUUGGUUCCGCGGAGGUCCAGGUACCUUCGCCUUCAGAACCACACCUUCCUUUUCAUCUCCAGCCUCCCUGGGCUCUCAACUGACUGCUGGGGGCUGGGGGGUGGGUUGCUCUUGGCCCUCCUGUAGCUAUGCUUGCUACUGGGUGGGAGGGCUUGCUUUAUACUGCAGACAUCUUUCUGGAUUGUUGCUAUCAAUUGACUACUUGCCCUCUGCCUCCUAUGUCCGUGAUUCCUGCUUGUCACAGAAGAACUGCUGGGUCUUUAUUGCUUUUCUCUCCAAGGUCUUUUGAUGAGGCAGAAAGGAAAGGUCAUCAGAUUCAGGCUGACCUGGGUUUCCACUUCUGCUUUGUCAUUUGCAGCUGUGUGGCCUAGGACUAGUGGCUGAACCUCUCUGGGCCCCAGUAAGAUGGAAAACCAAACAUGGGCCUCAUCGGGUUGGUUAUCGUGCAGAUUCAAUAAGCCCAGGGAAAACAUUAACACAAAAUGCUAAUAGCUGAUGCUUACUGAGCUCUUUGUGUGUACCGCACUCUAUUUGAUGUGCUUGGCCAUACAUUAACUUAUUUGAUUUUUUCCAAAAUUCUUAGAGAUAGAUACUGUUAUCGACCUCAUUUUACCAAAGAGGUAAAAAAGGCAUGGACAAGGUAAAUUGCUUGCCAAGCAUUGCCCGAUUUUAAGCCUCUGCAGUCUGUAUACAGAACCUGUGCUUAUAAUUUUGAUUUAAAUACUUACUAAAUGAACAGUAACUUUUAUUAUCUUGCUCGUUAAUACUCCCUGACAACUAAGUUGUCCUCAACUGCCAACAACCACUGCUUAUCCUCAACUGCUUAUCCUUAACUGCCAACAAUCACUGAUGUCACUGGACUCAAGCACCCUUUGUAAUACAGACCUAUUAAUUUAUCUAUUCCAGAAAUAUUGUUAUUGUUCCACACCCGCCGUUUAGCAGAGCCCUCCCUAUUGGUUCAUA
Long non-coding RNA from Cercocebus atys (sooty mangabey), 4375 nucleotides. RefSeq lists it as uncharacterized. The record is from RefSeq and is a predicted model, not a curated record. The transcript has 3 exons. NCBI's taxonomy places the organism in Eukaryota, Metazoa, Chordata, Mammalia, Primates, Cercopithecidae.